AGUCGUUGGGGCUAUUGAAGCCUUAGUGACGCAGCUAACGCGAUAAGUUCUCCGCCUGGGGAGUACGGCCGCAAGGUUAAAACUCAAAUGAAUUGACGGGGGCCCGCACAACCGGUGGAGCAUGUGGUUUAAUUCGACGCAACGCGAAGAACCUUACCUGGUCUUGACAUCCUGCGAACUUGGUAGAGAUACCUUGGUGCCUUCGGGAGCGCAGUGACAGGUGCUGCAUGGCCGUCGUCAGCUCGUGUCGUGACAUGUUGGGUUAAGUCCCGUAACGAGCGCAACCCUUGUCCUUAGUUGCCAGCGGUCCGGCCGGGAACUCUAGGGAGACUGCCGGUGACAAACCGGAGGAAGGUGGGGAUGACGUCAGGUCAUCAUGGCCCUUACGGCCAGGGCUACACACGUGCUACAAUGGGGCGUACAGAGGGCAGCAAGCGCGCGAGUGCUAGCGAAUCCCUUAAAGCGUCUCGUAGUCCGGAUCGGAGUCUGCAACUCGACUCCGUGAAGUCGGAAUCGCUAGUAAUCGCGAAUCAGAAUGUUGCGGUGAAUACGUUCCCGGGCCUUGUACACACCACCCGUCACACCAUGGGAGUGGACUGCACCAGAAGCGGUUAGUCUAACCUUCGGGAGGACGAUCGCCACGGUGUGGUUCACGACUGGGGUGAAGUCGUAACAAGGUAACC
RNAcentral lists this ribosomal RNA (683 nucleotides) under uncultured bacterium. Its description in RNAcentral is "bacterial SSU rRNA". It matches the Rfam family "Bacterial small subunit ribosomal RNA", at positions 818 to 1501 of the family's 1533-position model. The record is from RNAcentral.